CUCGUAGGUGGUUUUGUAAGUUGGAUAUUAAAGCUCCCGGCUCAACUGGGAAAAAGUAUCCAAAACUGCAUAACUUGAGGUAUACAGGGGAAGAUGGAACUCACGGUGUAGCAGUGAAAUGCGUAGAUAUCGUGAGGAACGCCAAUGGUGAAGACAGUCUUCUGGGUAUAUCCUGACACUGAGGAGCGAAAGCGUGGGGAGCGAACG
RNAcentral lists this ribosomal RNA (207 nucleotides) under uncultured bacterium. RNAcentral's name for it is "partial 16S ribosomal RNA". It matches the Rfam family "Bacterial small subunit ribosomal RNA", at positions 568 to 774 of the family's 1533-position model. The record is from RNAcentral.